AGUCGCGACAGGUCCACGAUGAGAACACCCGAUCCCGUCCGAUAUCGGAAGUUAAGCAUCGUCGGGCAGUGAUGGUACUUGGAUGGUGAGCAAUCCGUAACCUUAAUGGGUAAACUACUU
RNAcentral lists this ribosomal RNA (120 nucleotides) under Clytia hemisphaerica. Lineage: Eukaryota; Metazoa; Cnidaria; Hydrozoa; Leptothecata; Clytiidae. The record is from RNAcentral.